RNAcentral lists this ribosomal RNA (347 nucleotides) under uncultured bacterium. Its description in RNAcentral is "partial 16S ribosomal RNA". It matches the Rfam family "Bacterial small subunit ribosomal RNA", at positions 338 to 696 of the family's 1533-position model. The record is from RNAcentral.
CCUACGUGCGGCUGCAGUCGAGAAUCUUUCACAAUGGGGGAAACCCUGAUGGUGCGACGCCGCGUGGGGGAAUGAAGGUCUUCGGAUUGUAAACCCCUGUCAUGUGGGAGCAAAUUAAAAAGAUAGUACCACAAGAGGAAGAGACGGCUAACUCUGUGCCAGCAGCCGCGGUAAUACAGAGGUCUCAAGCGUUGUUCGGAAUCAUUGGGCGUAAAGCGUGCGUAGGCUGUUUCGUAAGUGGUGUGUGAAAGGCGGGGGCUCAACCCGCGGACGGCACAUGAUACUGCGAGACUAGAGUAGUGGAGGGGGAAGCGGAAUUCUCGGUGUAGCAGUGAAAUGCGUAGAUA